Molecule: long non-coding RNA, 1476 nt
Filed under: Monodelphis domestica (gray short-tailed opossum)
Lineage: Eukaryota; Metazoa; Chordata; Mammalia; Didelphimorphia; Didelphidae
Description: lncRNA (ENSMODG00000044579.1)
Source: RNAcentral
CAGAAAUCAGAAAGCUAGAGGUCUCUAACUUCAGUAGGGAACUAUGUUGUUCCAACGGUUUCACUCUAUUUAUACUGUAGUAAUUUAGACUGGGGAGUCUUUGAAUUGUAAAUCACUGAUCUGGACAUUUUACAUCUUACAUCAUUAUAAGAGAAUAACAUAAUAAUAUAAAUAUCAUUUACAUUAUUUUCUUGCCAGACAUAGAAAAGCAUGAGCAGCAAGAGAGUCAGGACAAUGGAGUUUCCUCUAAGCUUAUAAAGUUUUCUGGUGUGCUUGGGAAUGGUCAGCAAGACAUGACUCCAGGAAACUACUAAGCUGAAUGGAAUAAGCAAAUAUAAUAAAUAUCUAAGGAUAUGAUGACCCAGAAGGAGUAAAUCAGGUGACAGAAAUAGGAGUGAAGUUUCAGUUUAAGCACUCUGGAAUCUUUGCUGCAAAUUCUCCAAUGAACAGAUGCUACUUUCAAACCUCUUAACCAGUAGAGAUACUGCUUCACUCAAGUACACGGGCACCAACACUCACUCAACACCCAAAACUGUGGAGCUUGCAGUCAGGUUGAACCGGGCUCCAUUUUGGCCGACUUACUUUGGAAACAGAUUUGGUCGAUGUUCGACACUCUUUCCAACAUUUGCAGGUACCUGGUCCAUAAUAUAUGGACAUAUAUAUAUAUAAUAUGUAUAUGAUAUAUGGACAUAUAUCAUGGACAUGAACUCAGCAGCGGUCCUACUGGGGGCUACACUGGGGCAUUCACCGAAACGAGAUUGGCCAUUUGGUUCCGGAUUAAAGAGAGGCUAGUUUGCCGAUUUGGCUUAUCUAACUCAACUCACCCAGCUGACUCCUGACUAAACUCAGUGGGUUCUUGUGUGUACCUCACGUCUGGUGGUCAAGCUGGAUGGAGGUUUAGGCAGCCAUAACUUCGUCCUAGUACCUGGUUCACCAUUUAACUUGGAAGUAACACAAAACUAUUAAAAUAGUCAGAAAAACCAAGUCUUUAAUCAGGAUAGGGAUAAAUCCAGUAUUUAAUUCUUUACUCAGAGUCAGGUGCCACAACUUUUUCAGGGUAUAAAGCCUGGACUCUGGGGAUGUUAUCCCUGGAAGUGCCACAAGGCUAGAUGAUGACUCCAAGGAACAAAAGAAUUUGGGGAACCUAUAUACCAUUUGGGGGAUCCAGGGGCAGGGAAAGAUGAUUGACAUCACUAUAGCUACAAAGGAAAUGGGAGUAUUCGAACUACACUGACAAGGUACAAUCAAGCUUGGGAAAGGAAUCAUAGCUAGAGGCUAGGGUGAAAGAGAAGGGGCUGCUUCUAAUGGAUGGUUCCUGCCCAGGUGUGGAUCUUCUUGGGAAAGGAUCUCUGAUACAAUAGGGAGACUACCUAAAACACAGAAGGUCCUUCACACAAGCUUAGUCCCACCCAACUGGGAUUGUCAUUCACCUGAGGGUCUGUCACUCAGUCAGGGUGGAUUCCCAUGGGAACAGGG